Molecule: unclassified non-coding RNA, 295 nt
Filed under: uncultured fungus
Lineage: Eukaryota; Fungi
Description: sequence contains ITS1, 5.8S rRNA gene
Rfam family: 5.8S ribosomal RNA (bases 247-295)
Source: RNAcentral
UUUCCGUAGGUGAACCUGCGGAAGGAUCAUUAACCUUUCAAAUCAGGGUGCGGCGCGGCCCCCGAGGAGCGGAAACAAUCCUUGGGAGGUAUGCGGGGGCUUCGAGCCCCCCAUUUACGCACGCACGACUGCCAUCCUUACUUUACGAGCACCUUCUGUUCUCCCUCGGCGGGGCAACCUGCCGUUGGAACCGAAUAAACUCUUUUUGCAUCUAGCAUUACCUGUUCCGAAACAAACAAUCGUUACAACUUUCAACAAUGGAUCUCUUGGCUCUGGCAUCGAUGAAGAACGCAGC